Molecule: ribosomal RNA, 495 nt
Filed under: uncultured bacterium
Lineage: Bacteria
Description: partial 16S ribosomal RNA
Rfam family: Bacterial small subunit ribosomal RNA
Source: RNAcentral
GACGAACGCUGGCGGCGUGCCUAAUACAUGCAAGUAGAACGCUGAAGGAGGAGCUUGCUUCUCUGGAUGAGUUGCGAACGGGUGAGUAACGCGUAGGUAACCUGCCUGGUAGCGGGGGAUAACUAUUGGAAACGAUAGCUAAUACCGCAUAAUAGUAGAUGUUGCAUGACAUUUGCUUAAAAGGUGCAAUUGCAUCACUACCAGAUGGACCUGCGUUGUAUUAGCUAGUUGGUGGGGUAACGGCUCACCAAGGCGACGAUACAUAGCCGACCUGAGAGGGUGAUCGGCCACACUGGGACUGAGACACGGCCCAGACUCCUACGGGAGGCAGCAGUAGGGAAUCUUCGGCAAUAGACGGAAGUCUGACCGAGCAACGCCGCGUGAGUGAAGAAGGUUUUCGGAUCGUAAAGCUCGGUUGUAAGAGAAGAACGAGUGUGAGAGUGGAAAGUUCACACUGUGACGGUAUCUUACCAGAAAGGGACGGCUAACUACGUG